CAAAAAGGCUAGAAAAAAGGAUGCUGAUGAAGAACCAAGGAUGACCAAAGGUGCAACACUUAGGUGUGGGAUCUGUCGAACUUUAGGACAUAACAAGAGACGCUGCCCACAAAAUCAUUCAAACAAUAAGAAUUAAAGGAGAGGAGAAGCUUCAUCAGCCCCAAUAAGUUAGACAUGUCAACAUUGAAGCAAUUGUCAAGGGUAGCAGAACUUAAGGAGUGUGGAGUUGAAGCAUGCUGUUGUUUUUGGGUGUGAUAAAACUAUAGAAGCAUGAUGAUGGUUUUUUUUUAUGUGUGGAGUUGAAGCAUGCUGUUGUAUUUUGGUGAAAUUUGGGGAAGUUGUACAUAUGACUUUGUUUGUUAGUCUUGGUGUGCAAAUAUGGUGUGAUAAUAUUGUACAGAUAGCAACUGAUUUAGGUUGUCUAUUGUGAAUGUUGUAAUUGAUUUAGGAUUGCUAC
Molecule: long non-coding RNA, 457 nt
Organism: Pistacia vera
Lineage: Eukaryota; Viridiplantae; Streptophyta; Magnoliopsida; Sapindales; Anacardiaceae
Exons: 3
Source: RefSeq, a predicted model, not a curated record